Molecule: long non-coding RNA, 8787 nt
Organism: Apis cerana (Asiatic honeybee)
Lineage: Eukaryota; Metazoa; Arthropoda; Insecta; Hymenoptera; Apidae
Source: RefSeq, a predicted model, not a curated record
UUUUUAUCAAUUAUGAUAGAAAAAUAUUCUUUUGUAAAAAAAAUAUAAUUCAAAUUUAAAAUUUACAAAAAAAAUAUAUAUUUUUUAUUUAAUUAUUUAAUAACUAUAUAAAUUACUAUAUUAUAUGUAUAUAUUAUCAAGUGUGAAAGAAUUAAAGAAUUCUCUAACGAGAAUUAAAGACUAAAACUUUAUAUAUUUUUUUUUAUAUUUUACGAUGGACUGAAAUUAAAUCUAAUCAAAUCUAAAUAAUACUACGAAAUGAUUAAAAACGAGGAAAAGGAUAAAGGAUAAGUUUGCAUACUUUUUUUAUCUAUUAUUACUUUGACAGUUUGUUUUAUUUAUAACAUAACCUAAAAUUUUACAAAUAUUAAUGUAAUUUGGAUAUUGUUUAAAAUUAAGUUAUAAACAUUUUGAAUUUUGAUUUGAAAUUUAUAGUAUUUAUAAUAUUAAUUGUUUAUAUAUUUGAGAUCUUAAAGCAUAUAUUUAUAAAUAUGGUCUAUGUCUAAAAAUCCAUGAAUUAAAUUAAAGCAAAAUAACAAGAAAAAUGUGAUAUCAUAAAGAGUAAUUUAAAAUAAUAAAUAUUGCAUCAAACACUAUAAGCAGUUACAUAUGAGUUACAUAUCAGAAUUCAUGUUCUUUGAAUAAUUUUUUAAUAACUAUUAAUAAUGGUGCAAAUAUGUUAUAUGAAGGAUUACAAAGAAUGAUAAAAGCAUUAUCCUGUUGAAAAGCUUUAUGCUUAAAAUUUUUAAAUUUUAUUUAUCCAAAGUUGUAAUUAUGUUAAAGAUUCCUAUUAUCAUAUCUUAUCUUAAAAUCUUAUAUAAGAAGUAAAUUUAUUAAAACUAUUUUACUUUGCAUUCAAUGAUUAUAAAUAAAUAAUAAUCUAAUUUUAUUAUAUAUAAUAAUAUAAUGUUGUUUUUUAUUAUUUUUUUUAAAUUAAAAUUAGUUAUAACAAAAUAAUUACACAAAUUAAAUAUAAUUAAAUAUUUCAAUUAAAAUUUAAUUUAAUUUAAUUUUUUUCAAAAGAUAUAUAUUAUAAUGUUAAAAUUAUAUAAUAUUAUAAGAAUAGAAAGAAUUAUAAAAUAAAAUAUAUAUUUCAGAUUUAACAAUUAAUGAUUAAAAAUUAAAUUGCAUAUUAUAUAUAUAAAAAUAUAAAAAUAUUUAUAUAUUGUUUGAAAGUAUACAAAAUUUUCGAUCAUUAUUUUACUCAUAUAUUAUAUAGAUAAUUUUAUCUUCAUGCAAUAUUUGAAGCCAUGUUUAUAAAUACAAUAACUAUAAAUUCAUCCAUAUUUUUAUAAUUUUCAUAAAAAGAAAAUAAAGAUUAAAAAAUAUGUUUUCAUAAUACAUAUAAGAAAAAUGAAGAAACAAAAAAUAAAAUUUUUUUUCAUAAAUCUGAGAAAAAAAAAAUUUUUCUUAAAAUUGUAUUUUAGAUUGUGAAAAAAAUAUGAACUCAAUAUGUAAUUUAAUAUUUUAAUAUUUUUAUAUUUAGUAUUUUAUUAAUUUUUAUUUUAUUAUUUUAUUAUUAUUUAUUUUUGAUCUUUUGUAAUAAGCAACCAGGAAUAUUUGUAAUAAGUUAUUUAGAUUUUUUUCUCUCAUCAUUAUACUUUAUUAUUAAUAAAUAACAAUUUUAUUAUUAUAAUUGAAUCAAUUUAAUUUGUACAUAUCAAUCUUAUAAAAGAUAAAGAAAAUAAGCAAUUACAACAUUUGGAAAAUUAAAUAUUUUUAGAAUAUGAUUUUUCCUUAUUUCUUUAAAUUAUUAAUUUUAAUCGAACUUGAAAUUAUGCUAAUAUUUACUAUAAGUAUUAGAUUUAUUGAAUUAAAUUUUUUUCAUUUCUGAUUGUAAAAUCUUUAUGUUUUAUAUAUAUAUAUUUUUUACAUUUUUAGUCUUGUAUCAAUAGUCAAUGUGAUAUUUUUAAAAUAUUAACUUUUAUAAAAAUAUCUGAUAUAUUUUCUAAAUAUUUCAACAAAAAUUAUUUUCUUAGGAUAUUCUUAUAUUUCAUAUUAACAAUUCAUAUAUUCAAUUCAUAUUUAACUCAAUUAUUAUUAUAUAACUAUUUAUUGUAUUUAUUUAUUAUAUUUAUAAAUGAUAUGAAGAUUAUUUUUUUAAAAUAUUUUAUCAAUGGAAUAUUAAUAAAAAUAUGGUUUAGAAUUUGAAAUUAAUUUAUUAUCAUGCCAACAUUAAAUUUUAAAUUUUAAUUUCAACACUAUUAAUAUUUAAUUAAUAUUUAAUUUUAUAUUCUGACAAGACAAAUUUAUGAUCAAAAAUAGAAAUUAAUAAUGUUACUAAAGUUAAAAAAUAAUAGAAUAUGAAUAGAAUUGAAUAGAAUUUAUUUGAAUAGAGAUGACAGAAGAAAUAAUAAAUAAUAUAAAUACAUCAAUUAUUAGUGUUUUUUUAUUGCCUAUCACAUAUAUCAAAAAUUAAGAAAAAUUAAUAGAAUAAAAAAUAUUAAAAUUACAUAUCGAGUUUAUAUUUUUUUACAAAAUAUAAUUUUUAAAGAACAUAUUUUUUUCAGAUAUAAAUUUUCUUUUUUUUUUUUUUUUUAUAUUUCGAAAAUAUAUAAGAUUUUUUCUAUCUUUGUUUCUUUCUUAUAAAAAUUAUAAAAAUAUGGAUGAGUUUAUAAUUAUUCACAGUACUGUAUAUAUGGUCCAAGUUUAAGAUAUUACGCCAUUUUAAUUGUGAAUAUAAAUCACAGACUAUUAUCAUAAAUUCAUUAUAAAAUUAUUAAUUAAAAAGUUUUCUACUAUAAGGUAAACACAUAAUAUACAUACUUUAAGAAAUCAGCAAAUUUUAUGAAUAUAUUUACUAUAUGUGAGCAAAGAAAAUUGCGAUGUAAUUUGUAUCGAAGUGAAUAUUCUUUUGGCAUUUUUGAAGCAACGACUGAAUAUAGAGACAAAUCGAAAUACAUAUUCAAUACUUUAAUAUCGAUAUUUUCGGCAUGAAUUAAAUGAAUGAAUUAAAGGAAAAUUUUUUGAUAUUUCUUACACAUUUGUCAUAAUCGUUAUUUUGUUUUUAUUUAUGUUAACAUAAUUUUUACUAUAGUUCUAUCUAAAAAAAAAUAAACAAUUUUGAUUGAAUUUUGAAAAUAAAAUUGUUAAUAUUUUCUGUUUUUGAUUUAUAGAAUUUAAAAAUGUUAAUUUUAAAUAAUUUUAAGAAAUCUACUGAUGCUUUUUUAUUCGACAAAUUAUUAGAAUACCAUAUUAAUUUAUAUCUAUAGUUUGUUCAAUGAAUGAAAUUAUGUGAUAAUCAUUAUUUAAAUCUAUUAAAUAGUACCAUCAAAAUUAAAAAAUUCAUAGAUUUUUUCUAACUAUUUAAAAGAUAAUAAUGAAUAUACCAAUCUCUGAAAUAUAAAUUUUUUUUUUUUAAGAAGUUAGAAUAGAGAAAAAAAAUAUGAGAGUGAAUUGAAAAUAGUGAAAAAUAUAUAUAUACAUGUGAUAUAUAAACAUACAAUAUAUAUGUAAAUAAAAUUUUAUGAUAAAAGAUGAAUAAAAAGACAAACAAAAAUAAGAAAGCUUUCAAAAUAAUAAAACAAAAUAAAAGUAAGAAAAUGAAUAAAUAGAUGUUAUUUUAAAAUAUGUUAUUUUAAUUUUUAAAAUAUGUUAUUUUAGUAGAAAGUAAAUGUAAAAAAGAAAGAUAAAGAAAAUGGAGAUGGGAGAAAAAAAAAAAUGAAAAUAAAAAAAAAAUCUAUAAAAAAAUUUCAUAUCAAAAUUUAAGAAAAAAAUAAAAAGAAUUAAUAGAAUAAAGAGAAAAAGAAGAAAAUCAGAAAUUAUAUUAAAAAAUUAUUUGUAUAUUAAAAAUAAUACCACUUAUAGUAUUAUUUAAAUAAUAUUACUUAAUAAGAAUACCUAAUAAAAACAAGAAUACAGAAAGAUACAUCAAUGAAAAUUGAAAAAUGCUUUAGAAAAUAUAAUAUAAAAAAAAAAUUUAAUGAGAAGUAAAUAAAAGAAUAUUAUCACGAGAACUGGAUUUUAAUAAUAUUGUAAAUUAAUUCCAUAAAUCUGACUUCAACAUCAAUAAAUAAAUAAAAAGUAAAUGUUUCUGCCGAAUAAAUAUAAAUACAAAGUGUAUAUUAUUUAAAUGUUCAUUAUGGAUAACAAAAAAAAUAAAAGUUAAAAUAAACACAUAAUUUAAAAAUUUAAUCAAUCAAAAAAUUUUUAAAGAUAAUUUAUUAUGAACUGAAUCAAAUUAAUUCUGUUUUUAAUUAAAAUAUAUACAACCUAGAAAAUAAUUAAGUCUCUUACAACAUGUUUUAUUUUGAAUAAUUAAUUAUAAAAAAGUACUGCUAAUUUUGAUGAUUUUCUAAUAUAUUGUUAAAAUCAUUAUGACUAAUGUUGUGAAAAUUUUAGUUAUUGUUGUUAAAGAAUUAUGAUCAAAAAUAUAUAUAGAAAAUUUAAUGCUCUUUUUUUUACUGAACUUUAUGGUAUGUUUCUACAUUUUUUAUGAUUUUGAGAUUAACUUUUUAUGUCUUUUCAACAAAAAAGGUAAGAUAAUCAUUAUUGAUAAUUAAUAUAUAAUCAUUCUAUCUGAAUGAGAUAUAUGUAUAUGUAUACAUAAUGAAAUUCUAUGAAUUUUUUGAUUUUUUGAUAACAAAAUAUGAAUUAUUUAUUUAUUUAAGUAUUUAUAAAAAAUUAUUAAGUAUUUAUAAAAAAAAUAUUAUUUACAAAAGAAUGUUUGUGAUAUAAAAAUAUAUGAUGAAUUUACAAGAAUUUUUUUCAUUUUUGAUAUUAUUAUUAUGAUUUUUUUGAUUUUUUGAUAUUUUUUUAAAAAUAAUGAUAAUUAUAUAUUCCAUAAAUAAAUAAAAUAGCUUGAAAAUACUUGAAAAAUAUUUUAAAAUUUUAAAAAUUUUUCAUAACAUGAAAAAAAUUUUCAUAAUUUCUUACACAAUAUACAAUAUUUAUAUAUUUUCAACAUAUACUAUAUCCAAUUAUAGAUUCUUUUUUCUACUCUAUAAAAAUUUAAUUUAAUCCAAGUUCUAUUUUAAUUUUUUCCAGAAAUGACUUUAAAUUAGACUAAAUUUUUUUUAUGUAAUGGAAAUAACUAGGAGAGUAAAAUCACUACUUUUAUAAUAUAUAUGUUCAUAAUACAUGAACAUAUAAAUGACUAUAAUAAUUUUCAAAAUUAUUGAAUGUAGUUUCAUUUUUAUAUUAAUAACUUUUUAAUAAAGAAUGACUAAAUCAAAAAAAUAAAAAAAAACAAUUUAUAACACUAUUCAACAUGAUGAUUAUAAUAAUAUAUUAAAAAAUCAUUGAGAUUGAAGAAUAAUAUCUUUUUAUAAAUAUUUAUCUUGUUUUAUAUUUUUAUGUAUGUUUUAUGUAUUCUAAGGAGAUUAUAAUUUUUUUAAGAAUUUCUGAUAUACUUUCCUUUGUAAGUAUGCAUUAAAAUAUGUUUUUCUUUUUUCAAGUCUAUAUACCAGGGAUAGAUUAAGUUUAAAAAAAAACAUCAAAGGAAAAUGGAAUGCAAUUCAUUUAUAAUAUAAUAACUCAAAAAAAAGGAUGACAGAUUCACAACUAAUGAGAGAUUCUGAAGAAAAAAAAACAAUUGAUAUUGAUACUAAAUAAUUGAUUGAUAUUAAAUUAAAAAAUUUGUAAAUUUUUAAGUAUUCUUAUAAAUAAAAAGUAUUAAACAAUAAAAAUUUCAAGUUUUAUUUUGAAUCUUUUAUACAUUCCGGCAAAUAGAGUAGACCAACAUUCUAUGAGUAUUCUUUCAGUUCUCAGUUCUCAAAUUCUUAUAAAUUUGUUAUAGGAAUAUAUAUCAUUUGAACAUGAAGAAGAUGUUAAAUAAUUAUAAAUAGAAAAUAGAAAAGCAAAAUGAUAUAAAUAUAUAUGAAAAUAUAUGAUAAAGAAAAAAAUCAAGAAUGAAAUAGAUUAUAAAAAUAAGUAGGAAGAAAAGUGAAAAAAUACAAAAAUUUGAAUGCAACAAUCAUGAAAGUAUAAAUAAAGAAGUAACAAUAUGCUCAAAUAAUUUUCUUUCUUACAAUAAUUCGAAGAAAUGGAAUAUAAAUCUCAAAGGAUUAUUGAAAUAAAUUUGAAAAUAAUAAAAAUAUAAUUACAAUUGAAAAAUGUAAAUGAAAAAUAGAUUUAAUAAUAUAAAAUAGAAAAAAAACUUACUAAAAAUAUAUAAAGAGAUAAUAAAAAGUAAAGAGGAAUUUUAAAAGAAUUUAAAUCAUAAAAAUGGGGACAAAUAAAACUAAGAAAUGAAAUAAGAUAUGAUGGAUAAUUUAGUGUCAUGUACAUAUUUAAAAAAAAAGAGAAAGAAAAGAUAUUAUUAUAUAAUUUGAAAUUAAGAAAAAUUUAUUAAAAAACUUGAAAACUAGAUUGAUAAGUUUAAUUAAAAGUUAUAUGCAUUGAAAAAAAGAUAAAUUAGAAAUAACAAUAGUGUAUGUGAAUAAAGGAAAAACUAUAUUAAUAAAAUAUUAAAACUUAUUAACAUCAAAAUUACUAACUGGAUGUGGACAUAUAUAAUUAAAUUUAUUCAUAUAUAAUUAAAUUAGUCUUAUAUAGAAGUAAUUAAAUCUAUGCUGUAAAUGUUUAAGAUUUGGCCAGCCAGUAUGUUUAAGUGCUUGUGUAUAAGAGAGAAAGUAUAUUAUAUAAAAUGUCUAAUUUGAUUACUUAGAAUAACUGUUAAAGUAAACUUUAUAAAAAUAAGAUAUGAAAUUUAAAUGUUUUCAAAGAAAAUAAAGUAUGUAUUUUUUUUGUGAACUAUUUCAGAGAUUUCAAGAUCAUAUUUUAAAUGGAAUAAUUUUUAAUUUAAUUUUUUUAAAUGGUAUGAUCUACUUUUUAUAUUAUAAAUUGGUAGAAUAUCAAAUUCUGAAUAAAAAUUUUAUUGACUUUCAUAUAUCUUAAAUAGUUCAAAUAUUAACAUAAAAUAAAAUCUCAUGAACAGAAUAGUUAUAAAAAUUGUCUAUUGCAAUCAAUCCAUUGAAUUCUUUAUAAUGCUUAUUGUAAUUUUUUUAUAAUAUAUCUUGCUAAAAUUACAUUACAUAAGCAAAUAUAUUGUGAUAUAUCUAUUAACAAAUUUAAUAAUAUAUAAAAAAACUUAUGUAUUUUCAUUUUUCAAACAUAAUAUUAAUUUCUUUUUUUAUAAUAAUAACAAAAAUGUUACAAUCAAUUUUCACAGAAAAUUUUUAAUAAUUAUAAUGUUGCGUUAUUAUAGCAGCGUUAUUAUAGAGAUAUAAUUAUAUAUAGCGUUAUUAUAUAUAUAAUAAUAUAUAUAGAGAUAUAAUUUUGAAAUAGAAUUACUUCAUUGUAAUAAAUAAUAUAAAUAUAGUAUUCUUUUUUUAGUUGAAUGUAUCAUGCAGAUCUAAUGUAUAAUAUUUUUUCAAAAAUAAUUUGAUUUAUUAAAAAGUUAUGAAAGUAAAGAAUUAGUUAGAAAGCAUGAUUAAUUCAACAUUUAAUUUCUUCUUAAGUUUUUUAGAUUCUUAUAUAUGAUUUCAUUGAUUAUCAUAGAUCGAUUCAAGCCUUUGGAUUGAAAUCAUUGAAGGAUCUCAAUGUUAAAAUAGUUAAUUGUAUUCUACAGUUGAAAUCUAUACAAAUUUUUUAAGUGGCUUUAUAAAGUUUCAAAUUAAUCUUUAGUCUAAUAGGAUUUUUAAGUAUAUUAUUUUAUAUUUAGCUGGGAUUUUUGUAUUGUUAUUACUGAAAGAUAUGUUUAUAUAGAGUGAAAGUAACAUAAAUUUGCUUUUAUUUAUGUUGAUAUGCCAUUAAUGUUAUUUUAAAUAUUCUUGAAAAAUUGUAAAAACUAAUUAGGGAUCUCUGCAAAUAUGACUAUAAUAAAAUUAGCUGUAGUUGAUCUAAACAUACAGAUUGAAUAUAAGAAUGAUCCAAAAACAAAUACUAUAGUAUAUUAUUAUAAUAUAUUAACUUCAAUAGGAAAAGUUACAAUUGUUAUAUAUAAACAUUUUCUAUUAUUUAGUAAUAAUGCAUAAUUAAAUAGAGACCAUGCAAAUUUUUUUUGAAUUUAAAUAUAAUAAUGUAACAUAUAUACCUUGUUUUAUGUUCAGAAAUAUUAUCGAAUAGUAUUUUUUUUUCUUUUUCCAAUUCUUAUUCCAAUAUUAUAUAUAAUUUAAUAUACUUAUUUUAUUAUGGAAUGUCGUUUCUGAAAUUCAAAUUAAUGAUUUGGAAUGAUCAUUGUUUCUUUUCAUAUAUGUAAUAAUAUAUAAGCAUUUAUUUAUUUCUGACUCAAGGCUUUUCAUUGAAGAGGCUUUUUUUUUUAAUUCAGGAUUGUUUCAAUGUAAUAAUGUGAUAUUUGCGCCCGAUAGUUUUACAAUCGGGCGCACAUCGCGAUUAUAAAUAAUUGAAGCAAAAGUUUACCUGGUAUAGUUUUUGUUUUUUUGUCUAAACUUAAUUCUAAUUUUUUGCAUUGUGACAAAAAAUGGUUAGACAAGUUGACAUGCAGAGAAAAUAUUAAUCUACCACGCCAUCGCUUGCUUCUGUUCGUAGAAGAAUUCGCUGGACAUUAUCAUUAAGCAUUUCUGUUUCUGUUAAUUAUUUGUCGUGAAAUUUUUCAAAUAUAUAGGUUUUCCACUUUUCUAAGAAUUUGUGGAAAUCUUUGAACGUAGAAUGUGGAAAUCUUUAUGUGCUAAAUCUAAUGCUCACUCUUAUCAAUGUUAUUGAGUCUAAUUUUUUUGUAAACAUUACUAUGGUAUUCUACGAUUGUACAAGUUCAUCUAAUUUUUCCAGGGCGAGAUGAUUUUUUGCAUCAUCAAUGAAUUCUUUUAUUGCGAUGAAAGAUUUGUUUCUGAUUGUAGAUUUAAAAGUGUGCCCGCAUAAUAAAUAAAAAGAUUUGCUUUUGUUAUA